GCCUCCGUGGAUCGGCGGUAGAUCACCCUGACAUUGUACGUUGUCGAUAUCCCCUCUGCAUAGGGAACCGUGGGUUCGACUCCCACCAGAGGCA
Mycena leptocephala is the source of this 94-nucleotide non-coding RNA. The record is from the annotation of a GenBank genome assembly. NCBI's taxonomy places the organism in Eukaryota, Fungi, Basidiomycota, Agaricomycetes, Agaricales, Mycenaceae.